Molecule: long non-coding RNA, 317 nt
Organism: Helianthus annuus (common sunflower)
Lineage: Eukaryota; Viridiplantae; Streptophyta; Magnoliopsida; Asterales; Asteraceae
Exons: 3
Source: RefSeq, a predicted model, not a curated record
AUUUAAGAGCAAGGGAGGUUACGAUGAUCUUGAGAGUGCAAGGGCAUUCCAUCCCAAGGAUAUGCCCUAUGAUAACUGGUUGAGAACCAUCGAAGGUUUCCGGGAAGAAAAAUAUAUUAAAAGAAGCAAGGCCAACACACUAGUACGCGAGAAACAACAAUUCCCAUACCGUGGGGGGGACAUCUUCGUACGGUAGCACCGCCUAUAAAAAUGAUAUGGAUUGGGUACCUACGUAUGCUAAAACCCACACGGACAAUCAAGGGAAUUGGGUUGAUCCGGUUGCUGAACAAAAUUACCGGAACAUACAACAUGCCCCU